RNAcentral lists this ribosomal RNA (576 nucleotides) under uncultured bacterium. Its description in RNAcentral is "partial 16S ribosomal RNA". It matches the Rfam family "Bacterial small subunit ribosomal RNA", at positions 355 to 925 of the family's 1533-position model. The record is from RNAcentral.
UGGGGAAUUUUGGACAAUGGGCGCAAGCCUGAUCCAGCCAUGCCGCGUGCGGGAAGAAGGCCUUCGGGUUGUAAACCGCUUUUGUCAGGGAAGAAAUCUUCUGAGUUAAUACCUCGGGAGGAUGACGGUACCUGAAGAAUAAGCACCGGCUAACUACGUGCCAGCAGCCGCGGUAAUACGUAGGGUGCAAGCGUUAAUCGGAAUUACUGGGCGUAAAGCGUGCGCAGGCGGUUUUGUAAGACAGAGGUGAAAUCCCCGGGCUCAACCUGGGAACUGCCUUUGUGACUGCAAGGCUUGAGUGCGGCAGAGGGGGAUGGAAUUCCGCGUGUAGCAGUGAAAUGCGUAGAUAUGCGGAGGAACACCGAUGGCGAAGGCAAUCCCCUGGGCCUGCACUGACGCUCAUGCACGAAAGCGUGGGGAGCAAACAGGAUUAGAUCCCUGGUAGUCCACGCCCUAAACGAUGUCAACUGGUUGUUGGGAAGGUUCCUUCUCAGUAACGUAGCUAACGCGUGAAGUUGACCGCCUGGGGAGUACGGCCGCAAGGUUGAAACUCAAAGGAAUUGACGGGGUCAUAGC